GGCGGAUGUAGCCAAGUGGACAAAGGCAGU
Molecule: transfer RNA, 30 nt
Filed under: Achyrocline flaccida
Lineage: Eukaryota; Viridiplantae; Streptophyta; Magnoliopsida; Asterales; Asteraceae
Also listed under: 1 other name
Description: partial tRNA-His
Source: RNAcentral